This 440-nucleotide ribosomal RNA is filed under the name uncultured bacterium. Its description in RNAcentral is "partial 16S ribosomal RNA". It matches the Rfam family "Bacterial small subunit ribosomal RNA", at positions 338 to 795 of the family's 1533-position model. The record is from RNAcentral.
CCUACGGGUGGCAGCAGUAGGGAAUAUUGCUCAAUGGGGGAAACCCUGAAGCAGCAACGCCGCGUGGAGGAUGAAGGUUCUCGGAUUGUAAACCUCUUUUGUUAGAGAAGACAAUGACGGUAUCUAACGAAUAAGCACCGGUUCAAUCCGUGACAGCAGCCGCGGUCACACGGAAGGUGCAAGCGUUACUAGGAAUCACUGGGGGUAAAGAGCGAGUAGGUGGGAUAGCAAGGUAGACGUGAAAACUUUUGGGUUAAACAUAGAACUGCAUUUGAAACUGUUGUUCUAGAGUGUGGGAGAGGUAUGUGGAAUGCUUGGUGUAGAGGUAAAAUGCGUAGAGAUCAAGAAGAAUACUCAUUGCGAAGGCGGCCUGCUGGAGCAUAACUGACGCUGAUGCGCGAAAGCGUGGGGAGCGAACAGGAUUAGAUACCCCGGUAGUC